RNAcentral lists this ribosomal RNA (1380 nucleotides) under Pseudoalteromonas sp. NEC-BIFX-2020_002. RNAcentral describes it as "partial 23S ribosomal RNA". It matches the Rfam family "Bacterial large subunit ribosomal RNA", at positions 1586 to 2925 of the family's 2925-position model. The record is from RNAcentral. Lineage: Bacteria; Pseudomonadati; Pseudomonadota; Gammaproteobacteria; Alteromonadales; Pseudoalteromonadaceae.
UGAAGUUGCUGAUGCCAUACUUCCAGGAAAAGCCUCUAAGCUUCAGAUUAUAUGGAAUCGUACCCCAAACCGACACAGGUGGUCAGGUAGAGAAUACUAAGGCGCUUGAGAGAACUCGGGUGAAGGAACUAGGCAAAAUCGUACCGUAACUUCGGGAGAAGGUACGCUCCUAUCUGUGAUGAGACUUGCUCUCUAAGCGGACGGGAGCCGCAGUGACCAGGUGGCUGGGACUGUUUAUUAAAAACACAGCACUGUGCAAAAUCGCAAGAUGACGUAUACGGUGUGACACCUGCCCGGUGCCGGAAGGUUAAUUGAUGGGGUUAUCUUCGGAGAAGCUCUUGAUCGAAGCCCCGGUAAACGGCGGCCGUAACUAUAACGGUCCUAAGGUAGCGAAAUUCCUUGUCGGGUAAGUUCCGACCUGCACGAAUGGUGUAACCAUGGCCACGCUGUCUCCACCCGAGACUCAGUGAAAUUGAAAUCGCAGUGAAGAUGCUGUGUACCCGCGGCUAGACGGAAAGACCCCGUGAACCUUUACUACAGCUUGGCACUGAACAUUGAACCUACAUGUGUAGGAUAGGUGGGAGACUUAGAAGCAGCGACGCUAGUUGUUGUGGAGUCGUCCUUGAAAUACCACCCUUGUAGUUUUGAUGUUCUAACGUUGGCCCCUGAAUCGGGGUUACGGACAGUGCCUGGUGGGUAGUUUGACUGGGGCGGUCUCCUCCCAAAGAGUAACGGAGGAGCACGAAGGUUGGCUAAGUACGGUCGGACAUCGUACGGUUAGUGUAAUGGUAGAAGCCAGCUUAACUGCGAGACAGACACGUCGAGCAGGUACGAAAGUAGGUCAUAGUGAUCCGGUGGUUCUGAAUGGAAGGGCCAUCGCUCAACGGAUAAAAGGUACUCCGGGGAUAACAGGCUGAUACCGCCCAAGAGUUCAUAUCGACGGCGGUGUUUGGCACCUCGAUGUCGGCUCAUCACAUCCUGGGGCUGAAGUCGGUCCCAAGGGUAUGGCUGUUCGCCAUUUAAAGUGGUACGCGAGCUGGGUUUAGAACGUCGUGAGACAGUUCGGUCCCUAUCUGCCGUGGGCGUUUGAGAAUUGAGAGGGGUUGCUCCUAGUACGAGAGGACCGGAGUGAACGAACCGCUGGUGUUCGGGUUGUCAUGCCAAUGGCAUUGCCCGGUAGCUACGUUCGGAACUGAUAAGCGCUGAAAGCAUCUAAGCGCGAAGCAGGCCUCGAGAUGAGUUCUCACUAGAGCUAUAAGCUCUCUGAAGGGCCGUUGGAGACUACAACGUUGAUAGGCAAGGUGUGGAAGCAUAGUGAUAUGUUAAGCUAACUUGUACUAAUUACCCGUGAGGCUUAACCAUACAACGCCAAACGCGUUU